This 1523-nucleotide long non-coding RNA is filed under the name Equus asinus (donkey). RNAcentral's name for it is "lncRNA (ENSEASG00005037933.1)". Lineage: Eukaryota; Metazoa; Chordata; Mammalia; Perissodactyla; Equidae. The record is from RNAcentral.
UCAAUAGAUGUUGGCUCUUCUGAUCUGUAUUGGAUUCAUCCUCUCAGCCAGAGCAUUCCUAAAGGGAGACCCAGCAAGAAGCAGCGGGAGGAGGGAAGAGGGGGGCCAUCGGUCACCCAUGACUGCUAGUGCCCUGUAAUCAGAUCUUAGCAGACUCUUCUCUCAGAGAUGCAUGAGGGCGUUUGCUUGAAUCUGCUAAAAGAAAUAACUAGUGCUCAUGGUCACCAGAUUGAACAGCUAAUCACAGCUCUCCAUCUGUGAUUAGAAAGAACUGCCGUGAGUGGUGUGAGAACGGAGAGCUUGUUAGGCAAGAAUUGAAGGAGCAUUCGCCGCUUCUAGAGGCAAAACGUGCAAUGAACAUCAGAAACCGCUGGGUCUUAGACAUGAAUCGGGGAAUGGCUUCUGAUGUUUUUUCCUUUUUAAAUAUCCAAAGCCUUAAAAAUGAGGACCCAGGGCACCGGAGCCUGGACCUCUGGCUGAAUUAGCUGCCACGUCUUCUGAUCACUGUCUCUCUUGCCACUCCAACAGGGAGUGGAGGCCCCCUCCCUCACCCUCGCCCAACUGCAAGGUCAAGUGGAGGGCGGGCAUCGAUGCUCCACAGGUGUGCUGUGUCUGCCUGACCAACAGCUUCCAGUGCACACACUCAUGUGUGUAAGCCUGUUCCUGCGCCCCUGCCUCUGCUGACUGGACCCCAAGGAAGGCACCUGACCCAAGGGCCAUAGUCAUCUGGCUUAGGGAGAUGGGCUGGACCAAUCAAAUUCCUUUGCUCAGCAAUUCAAACUAAGAAAGAUAGGGACGAUGCAUUUACCUGCUAGUUGCAAGAUCCCCAGCUGAAUGGUCCUGCAGUCGAGUUGGACAUGGGGAGAACUUGCCUGGAUGGAAGGGCCUGCCCAUGGCCCAACAUAAAGAAGCAGAUGAGAGGUGUGUGGCCAUGUCUGACCAAGGUGAAGGGCCAGAAUGAAGGUCCCCAGAUCCAGGGGUGUCCCCGAGGGGCUUGGCCUGAUUAUAGCUCCAUGAAGAUCUCAGGAUGGACUCUGUUUUAAUAGUGUUGGCUGAGUAGGAGCCUCUUUAUUGUGACCAGCUGAACCCAAUCCUGGUAUUUAGUAAUCUUCUACAAGAUGCCGUCUGAUUGCAGAUCUCUGACAUCAGAGCGAAUCAGCCUGGCCGUGGCUCUAGCUUGGAGUGGGGCUGACCGAUGGAACCACGGGGCUGAUUUGUGUGAUUACCAGGCCUGCUUUCUUAGGUGGUGGGGGAGGUAUAUGAUUCUGGGAGGAGCCUCUAAAAGAAACACUUAAGACCUACUCAUAGGUAAGUGACAAAUGCUUCUUAAUUCGGAAAUUUCCUCCUGGGGUCAGCAUAUACAUAACCAUUCAACAGGUAUUCAUUGGAUGGGGUUGACGUUCAACUCAUUGUGCUACGUGCUGAGAGUGAUCCAAAGAUAGAACAUUCAUGAAGCUGUUGUUCUAGACUUAAAAUUUUGAAAAAAAGCAUGCACUGUAGAAAUCAAGAUAAAAAGUGAUCAU